UAGGGAAUAUUGCACAAUGGGCGAAAGCCUGAUGCAGCAACGCCGCGUGCGCGAUGAAGGCCUUCGGGUCGUAAAGCGCUUUUCGGGGAGAUGAGGAAGGACAGUAUCCCCGGAAUAAGUCUCGGCUAACUACGUGCCAGCAGCCGCGGUAACACGUAGGAGGCAAGCGUUAUCCGAAUUUACUGGGCGUAAAGCGCGUGCAGGCGGUUCGGUAAGUUGGAUGUGAAAUCUCCCGGCUCAACUGGGAGAGGUCGUUCAAUACUGUCGGACUAGAGGAUGGUAGAGGGAGGUGGAAUUCCCGGUGUAGUGGUGAAAUGCGUAGAUAUCGGGAGGAACACCAGUGGCGAAGGCGGCCUCCUGGACCAUUCCUGACGCUCAGACGCGAAAGCUAGGGGAGCGAACGGG
This 405-nucleotide ribosomal RNA is filed under the name uncultured prokaryote. Its description in RNAcentral is "bacterial SSU rRNA". It matches the Rfam family "Bacterial small subunit ribosomal RNA", at positions 355 to 776 of the family's 1533-position model. RNAcentral also lists the same sequence under 1 other name. The record is from RNAcentral.